Musa acuminata AAA Group (dessert banana) is the source of this 1677-nucleotide RNA transcript. It is a transcript of the gene named heterogeneous nuclear ribonucleoprotein 1-like, with no coding region annotated. The transcript has 8 exons. Lineage: Eukaryota; Viridiplantae; Streptophyta; Magnoliopsida; Zingiberales; Musaceae. The record is from RefSeq and is a predicted model, not a curated record.
CCCGUUCCGUUGAAUUGAGCCGUGGCAAGAACGUCUGUUUACCGCGGUCUAAUCGUAGCCUGCGCCACAACGUGCUCACCGUCUCCGAGCCGAGGGCGAGAGCGGCGCCUGAACCUCGCUAGGGUUUACAUUUGUUCAUCUCGUUUCUCCUUCCCGUCUCUUCAUUUCAAGCCCGGACUAUUUAAUCUUCUCUCUCUCUCCCGGUCGCUCGCUUAAACGAGGCCUUAAACCCUAGGUCCCCUAGGAGGAGGAAGCGGUCUCUCGCCAUGGAUCUCGCUGAGGAGAUCCCGAACGCCGUGGGUGGGGAGUACGAGGUCGAGGAGGAGGUGGUGGUGGAAGAAGAGGUCGAGGAGGAGAUCGAAGAAGAGGUGGAGGAAGAGGAAGACGAAAUGGGAGGCGGCGGAGGAGGACGCGGUGGUGAUGGAGGAGGAGGAGAAGGGGAUGAGGAUGGAGAUGGGAGUGCGGAGUCUAAGGGAAAGAGGAAAGAUAAUAGUGGUGGCGAGGAGAUGAGGCAAGCCGAUGCCGGUUCGUCGUCAGCGGGAAAAAUCUUUGUGGGUGGUGUUGCUUGGGAUACUACAGAAGAUACCUUCAAUAAACAUUUCAGCAAGUAUGGGGAGAUCAUUGAUUCUGUGAUAAUGAAGGACAAGAACACACACAUGCCAAGAGGAUUUGGGUUUGUGACAUUUGCUGACCCAUCAGUAAUUGACAGGGUUUGGGAGGAUGAGCAUGUUAUAGAUGGGAGGACGGUCGAAGUUAAGAGAACGGUUCCAAGAGAAGAUAUGCCUUCAAAAGCAGGCAUCAAGACGAAAAAAAUCUUCGUGGGUGGAAUUCCCACUGCUUUAACCGAAGAUGAGUUGAAGGAACACUUCUCCUCGUAUGGUGAAGUGAUUGAACACCAAAUAAUGCUUGACCAUAGUACCCGGCGGUCAAGAGGCUUUGGUUUUGUCACUUUCAAAGAUGAGGAAGCUGUUGACAAGAUUAUCUCGGAGGGUAGGAUGCAUGAUCUUGCAGGGAAACAAGUUGAAAUCAAGAAGGCCGAGCCGAAGAGAUCAGGUGGCAGUUCCAGGAUGAAUGAGAGGGUUAGUCACGGUGGUAGUAACCGAAGUGCACGUGGAUACCGAGGAAACUCUUAUGGCUAUGGAAGUGAUCAUCCAUACGGUGAUGCCUAUUACGGUGGAGGCUCAGGCUAUGGUUAUGGCAGAGGCUAUAGCUACGGUGGUGUCCCAGGCUAUGGUGCAGCCUAUGGAUCCAACUACGGUGGGCCUAUGUAUGGAGUUGGCGGCUACGGUGGUGACAUGUACGGUGGCCCAGGUGGAUAUGGUGGGUGGUAUGAUGGUGGCCACGGCAGUGGACGAGGUUACGGGAACAGGUACCACCCCUAUGGCAAAUGAGAGCCGUGUCACCGACCACCAUCAAGGAUAUUUAUUCAAUCACUAGUGUAGUCAUAUUGUUGACUUCUAACAGUUGGACUCCUCGCGGCCGUUUCGUGUCCUUGGAGAACAGAUUGUCGCCCAUACAUCUUUGCAACCACAUAUCACUAAAAAGGGAGCUUGGCUUUCGGGUCAGAGAUUUCAUGUGAUGAUUUAAGUGAGCAGCUUAUGUGACAAAAAAUGUACUCGGUUGCCGUUACUGUAUUUAUCGGCACCGUGCCGCAAUGCUUUGGGCGUUAAGCCACUA